UGGGGGCACCUGAUCCAGCCAUGCCGCGUGUGUGAAGAAGGCCCUCGGGUUGUAAAGCACUUUCAGCGAGGAAGAACGCCUAGCGGUUAAUACCCGCUAGGAAAGACAUCACUCGCAGAAGAAGCACCGGCUAACUCCGUGCCAGCAGCCGCGGUAAUACGGAGGGUGCAAGCGUUAAUCGGAAUUACUGGGCGUAAAGCGCGCGUAGGUGGCUUGAUAAGCCGGUUGUGAAAGCCCCGGGCUCAACCUGGGAACGGCAUCCGGAACUGUCAAGCUAGAGUGCAGGAGAGGAAGGUAGAAUUCCCGGUGUAGCGGUGAAAUGCGUAGAGAUCGGGAGGAAUACCAGUGGCGAAGGCGGCCUUCUGGACUGACACUGACACUGAGGUGCGAAAGCGUGGGUAGCAAACAGGAUUAGAUACCCUGGUAGUCCACGCCGUAAACGAUGUCGACCAGCCGUUGGGUGCCUAGCGCACUUUGUGGCGAAGUUAACGCGAUAAGUCGACCGCCUGGGGAGUACGGCCGCAAGGUUAAAACUCAAAUGAAUUGACGGGGGCCCGCACAAGCGGUGGAGCAUGUGGUUUAAUUCGAUGCAACGCGAAGAACCUUACCUACUCUUGACAUCCUGCGAAUUUGGUAGAGAUACCUUAGUGCCUUCGGGAACGCAGAGACAGGUGCUGCAUGGCUGUCGUCAGCUCGUGUUGUGAAAUGUUGGGUUAAGUCCCGUAACGAGCGCAACCCUUGUCCUUAUUUUGCCAGCGCGUAAUGGCGGGAACUCUAAGGAGACUGCCGGUGACAAACCGGAGGAAGGUGGGGACGACGACAAGUCAUCAUGUCCCUUA
RNAcentral lists this ribosomal RNA (839 nucleotides) under uncultured Halomonas sp. Its description in RNAcentral is "bacterial SSU rRNA". It matches the Rfam family "Bacterial small subunit ribosomal RNA", at positions 372 to 1204 of the family's 1533-position model. Lineage: Bacteria; Pseudomonadati; Pseudomonadota; Gammaproteobacteria; Oceanospirillales; Halomonadaceae. The record is from RNAcentral.